CAUGGCUCAGGAUGAACGCUGGCGGCGUGCUUAACACAUGCAAGUCGAACGAUGAAGCCCAGCUUGCUGGGUGGAUUAGUGGCGAACGGGUGAGUAACACGUGAGUAACCUGCCCUUAACUCUGGGAUAAGCCUGGGAAACUAGGUCUAAUACCGGAUAGGAGCGCCCACCGCAUGGUGGGUGUUGGAAAGAUUUAUCGGUUUUGGAUGGACUCGCGGCCUAUCAGCUUGUUGGUGAGGUAAUGGCUCACCAAGGCGACGACGGGUAGCCGGCCUGAGAGGGUGACCGGCCACACUGGGACUGAGACACGGCCCAGACUCCUACGGGAGGCAGCAGUGGGGAAUAUUGCACAAUGGGCGCAAGCCUGAUGCAGCGACGCCGCGUGAGGGAUGACGGCCUUCGGGUUGUAAACCUCUUUCAGUAGGGAAGAAGCGAAAGUGACGGUACCUGCAGAAGAAGCACCGGCUAACUACGUGCCAGCAGCCGCGGUAAUACGUAGGGUGCGAGCGUUAUCCGGAAUUAUUGGGCGUAAAGAGCUCGUAGGCGGUUUGUCGCGUCUGUCGUGAAAGUCCGGGGCUUAACCCCGGAUCUGCGGUGGGUACGGGCAGACUAGAGUGCAGUAGGGGAGACUGGAAUUCCUGGUGUAGCGGUGGAAUGCGCAGAUAUCAGGAGGAACACCGAUGGCGAAGGCAGGUCUCUGGGCUGUAACUGACGCUGAGGAGCGAAAGCAUGGGGAGCGAACAGGAUUAGAUACCCUGGUAGUCCAUGCCGUAAACGUUGGGCACUAGGUGUGGGGACCAUUCCACGGUUUCCGCGCCGCAGCUAACGCAUUAAGUGCCCCGCCUGGGGAGUACGGCCGCAAGGCUAAAACUCAAAGGAAUUGACGGGGGCCCGCACAAGCGGCGGAGCAUGCGGAUUAAUUCGAUGCAACGCGAAGAACCUUACCAAGGCUUGACAUGUUCUCGAUCGCCGUAGAGAUACGGUUUCCCCUUUGGGGCGGGUUCACAGGUGGUGCAUGGUUGUCGUCAGCUCGUGUCGUGAGAUGUUGGGUUAAGUCCCGCAACGAGCGCAACCCUCGUUCCAUGUUGCCAGCACGUAAUGGUGGGGACUCAUGGGAGACUGCCGGGGUCAACUCGGAGGAAGGUGAGGACGACGUCAAAUCAUCAUGCCCCUUAUGUCUUGGGCUUAACGCAUGCUACAAUGGCCGGUACAAUGGGUUGCGAUACUGUGAGGU
RNAcentral lists this ribosomal RNA (1234 nucleotides) under Micrococcus sp. M48-6.7. RNAcentral describes it as "bacterial SSU rRNA". It matches the Rfam family "Bacterial small subunit ribosomal RNA", at positions 18 to 1263 of the family's 1533-position model. The record is from RNAcentral. Lineage: Bacteria; Bacillati; Actinomycetota; Actinomycetes; Micrococcales; Micrococcaceae.